GGUAAGAUGGCUGAGUUUUAAGCGGUGGAUUGUAGCCCCAUAGAUAAAGGUUAAAAUCCUUUUCUUAUCA
Molecule: transfer RNA, 70 nt
Filed under: Aseraggodes kaianus (Kai sole)
Lineage: Eukaryota; Metazoa; Chordata; Actinopteri; Pleuronectiformes; Soleidae
Description: tRNA-Tyr
Rfam family: tRNA
About the family: Transfer RNA (tRNA) molecules are approximately 80 nucleotides in length. Their secondary structure includes four short double-helical elements and three loops (D, anti-codon, and T loops). Further hydrogen bonds mediate the characteristic L-shaped molecular structure. tRNAs have two regions of fundamental functional importance: the anti-codon, which is responsible for specific mRNA codon recognition, and the 3' end, to which the tRNAs corresponding amino acid is attached (by aminoacyl-tRNA synthetases). tRNAs cope with the degeneracy of the genetic code in two manners: having more than one tRNA (with a specific anti-codon) for a particular amino acid; and 'wobble' base-pairing, i.e. permitting non-standard base-pairing at the 3rd anti-codon position.
Source: RNAcentral